CUACGGGACGCAGCAGUUAGGAAUAAUCUGCAAUGCGCGCAAGCGUGACAGUUUGAGCCAGAGUGUUUAUCUAUUGAUAAGCUUUUGCCAAAUGUAAAAAGUUUGGCGAAUAAGGACUGGGUAAGACUAGUGCCAGCCGCCGCGGUAAUACUAGCGGUCCAAGUCGCAGCCAUUAUUAUUGGGUCUAAAACAUCCGUAGCUUGCUUAAUAAGUUUCUUGUGAAAUCUUGUGUCUUAAACGCAAGGCGAGCGGGAAAUACUGUUAAGCUAGAGACUGGGAGGCGGUGAGAAGUACGUUCAAAGUAGCGGUAAAAUGUGUUAAUCUUGGACGGACUCACAAUAGCGAAGGCAUCUCACGAGAACAGUUCUGACAGUAAGGGAUGAAGGCUAGGGGCGCAAAACGGAUUAGAUACCCGGGUAGUC
RNAcentral lists this ribosomal RNA (422 nucleotides) under uncultured archaeon. RNAcentral's name for it is "partial 16S ribosomal RNA". It matches the Rfam family "Archaeal small subunit ribosomal RNA", at positions 323 to 746 of the family's 1478-position model. The record is from RNAcentral.